AUUAAGAUGUCUGAUAAAAGUAAUAAACUGUAAAUUUAUUUAUAAACAUAAGUGUUUUCUUAAUA
RNAcentral lists this transfer RNA (65 nucleotides) under Membranacea stenoprocessa. RNAcentral's name for it is "tRNA-Tyr". The record is from RNAcentral. Lineage: Eukaryota; Metazoa; Arthropoda; Insecta; Hemiptera; Cicadellidae.